AAGAAAUAUACCCACCAAAAAAGGAGCAGCAGGAUAAAUCCCAAUGGAAAAUCUGUGCCUUUCUGCGGUUGGAGUCACUUGGUCAAGAAAUGAUGAAAUUACAAAUUUUUGUAAAGGGUGUGUGUUUUGGAGUUUCUGAGGUCCAGGUCUCAGCGUGAGAGUUGGGCAAGGCCAGCCUUUAACUCCGAUGCAGAAUAAAGAGAAGGAAGUGGUCACGACAAGCAUUCUUUCCCACCCCGGCAGCACCUCCCUGGUCUAACGUUGCCUGUCAGUCUCUUGUCUGCUGAACUUGGAAUCUAGCUCUCCCAGCAAGCCUGUGCCCCCAGUCCUCCCUGCAAGACCUUCGUCCUUUAACUCUCUAUGGGAAUGGAUCCAUCUCGGACUAACCCACAAGAAUAAUGUGAACCCAGAAGAACCAAGCACCCAGACCACGCUGUCCUUUUUCCCCCAUAAGCACUGUGGUUCACUUAUUCAGUCAUCCAACAAACAAUGACUGGGUACCAACUGAAUGAUGAAGCUAAGCCGAUGGGACAAAGAGGGCAGUGUUAUUCAAAGUGUGACCCAAGGAUGAGCAGAAGCAGCAUCAACUGAGAAUUUAUUAGAAGGUUCACUUCUCAGGCCCCCGUUCAGAGCCAUUGAACCCAUGCUUCUGGUGGUGAGGCUCAGGAAUCUGUGUUUUACCAAACUUUCCAGGAAACUCUAUGCCAUUUUCCAACAUCAUCGGUAGGGGCUGCAGUGUCCAAGUCCAGUGGCAGGGGCAUUGGAAUCCUUUCUGGAACCAUCCCACACUGCAUUUUGGGUGUUAUUCUCAGCUGAGUGGCCAUCCAAGUUUAAUUCUCUGGCCUUCCCAAAGAGUCUGGGAGGCAUCUGAUAUCCUUUAAUAAAUUCCUUUUUUGUUUAGACUA
Molecule: non-coding RNA, 905 nt
Organism: Sus scrofa (pig)
Lineage: Eukaryota; Metazoa; Chordata; Mammalia; Artiodactyla; Suidae
Source: RefSeq, a predicted model, not a curated record